CCUACGGGGGGCAGCAGUAGGGAAUCUUGGACAAUGGGCGAAAGCCUGAUCCAGCCAUGCCGCGUGAGUGAUGAAGGCCUUAGGGUUGUAAAGCUCUUUCGCCAGGGAAGAUAAUGACGGUACCUGGAUAAGAAGCCCCGGCUAACUUCGUGCCAGCAGCCGCGGUAAUACGAAGGGGGCUAGCGUUGUUCGGAAUUACUGGGCGUAAAGCGCACGUAGGCGGUUUUCCAAGUUGGAGGUGAAAUCCCUGGGCUCAACCCGGGAACUGCCUCCAAAACUGGAUCACUCGAGUCCGAGAGAGGUGAGUGGAAUUUCCAGUGUAGAGGUGAAAUUCGUAGAUAUUGGAAAGAACACCAGUGGCGAAGGCGGCUCACUGGCUCGGUACUGACGCUGAGGUGCGACAGCGUGGGGAGCAAACGGGAUUAGAUACCCUGGUAGUC
Molecule: ribosomal RNA, 440 nt
Filed under: uncultured bacterium
Lineage: Bacteria
Description: partial 16S ribosomal RNA
Rfam family: Bacterial small subunit ribosomal RNA
Source: RNAcentral